RNAcentral lists this long non-coding RNA (250 nucleotides) under Physcomitrium patens. RNAcentral's name for it is "long non-coding RNA (PPAT_LNC000915)". Lineage: Eukaryota; Viridiplantae; Streptophyta; Bryopsida; Funariales; Funariaceae. The record is from RNAcentral.
UCUGAUGGCCUGGCUUCCAAUAGUUAUAAUACAAUUCCUUCUAUGCUAUUAUUUGUCAUCUCUAUAAUGUCAAUGGUCCUUACAAGGUAUCAAUCUCCAUUGGCAUUGGUUGUUGUGCCAUAAUAUUGGAUAGUAGUAUAAUAUUUUGUACUAUAGAUUAUGCUCUAAAAUUUUUGAAAUCUAUAGCAUCAAUCCUCUUUACAAACUUAACUACUUCUUUACAUGUUUGAGGAUCCCUUAAUUCCACCUC